Molecule: ribosomal RNA, 484 nt
Filed under: uncultured bacterium
Lineage: Bacteria
Description: partial 16S ribosomal RNA
Rfam family: Bacterial small subunit ribosomal RNA
Source: RNAcentral
AUUGAACGCUGGCGGCAGGCCUAACACAUGCAAGUCGAGCGGAUGAAGGGAGCUUGCUCCUGGAUUCAGCGGCGGACGGGUGAGUAAUGCCUAGGAAUCUGCCUGGUAGUGGGGGAUAACGUCCGGAAACGGGCGCUAAUACCGCAUACGUCCUGAGGGAGAAAGUGGGGGAUCUUCGGACCUCACGCUAUCAGAUGAGCUUAGGUCGGAUUAGCUAGUUGGUGGGGUAAAGGCCUACCAAGGCGGCGAUCCGUAACUGGUCUGAGAGGAUGAUCAGUCACACUGGAACUGAGACACGGUCCAGACUCCUACGGGAGGCAGCAGUGGGGAAUAUUGGACAAUGGGCGAAAGCCUGAUCCAGCCAUGCCGCGUGUGUGAAGAAGGUCUUCGGAUUGUAAAGCACUUUAAGUUGGGAGGAAGGGCAGUAAGUUAAUACCUUGCUGUUUUGACGUUACCAACAGAAUAAGCACCGGCUAACUUCGUG